Molecule: non-coding RNA, 73 nt
Organism: Bos taurus (domestic cattle)
Lineage: Eukaryota; Metazoa; Chordata; Mammalia; Artiodactyla; Bovidae
Source: Rfam
UCCCUGGUGGUCCAGUGGCUAAGAUGCCACACUCCCAGGGAAGGGGGCCCAGGUUCAAUUCCUGGUCAGGGAA